UCCCUGGUAGUCUAGUGGUUAUGAUUCGGUGCUCUUAGCGCCGCAGCCCGGGUUUGAUUCCCGGUCAGGGAA
Molecule: non-coding RNA, 72 nt
Organism: Rhincodon typus (whale shark)
Lineage: Eukaryota; Metazoa; Chordata; Chondrichthyes; Orectolobiformes; Rhincodontidae
Source: the annotation of a RefSeq genome assembly